ACCUUUUAAUGAAGCUUCGGCAGAUUUAGCUGGUUUCUAGUGGCGGACGGGUGAGUAACGCGUGGGUAACCUGCCUUAUACAGGGGGAUAACAGUCAGAAAUGACUGCUAAUACCGCAUAAGCGCACAGGACCGCAUGGUCCGGUGUGAAAAACUCCGGUGGUAUAAGAUGGACCCGCGUUGGAUUAGCUGGUUGGUGGGGUAACGGCUCACCAAGGCGACGAUCCAUAGCCGGCCUGAGGGGGUGAACGGCCACAUUGGGACUGAGACACGGCCCAGACUCCUACGGGAGGCAGCAGUGGGGAAUAUUGCACAAUGGGGGAAACCCUGAUGCAGCGACGCCGCGUGAAGGAAGAAGUAUCUCGGUAUGUAAACUUCUAUCAGCAGGGAAGAUAGUGACGGUACCUGACUAAGAAGCCCCGGCUAACUACGUGCCAGCAGCCGCGGUAAUACGUAGGGGGCAAGCGUUAUCCGGAUUUACUGGGUGUAAAGGGAGCGUAGACGGACUGGCAAGUCUGAUGUGAAAGGCGGGGGCUCAACCCCUGGACUGCAUUGGAAACUGUUAGUCUUGAGUGCCGGAGAGGUAAGCGGAAUUCCUAGUGUAGCGGUGAAAUGCGUAGAUAUUAGGAGGAACACCAGUGGCGAAGGCGGCUUACUGGACGGUAACUGACGUUGAGGCUCG
This 681-nucleotide ribosomal RNA is filed under the name uncultured Lachnospiraceae bacterium. RNAcentral's name for it is "bacterial SSU rRNA". It matches the Rfam family "Bacterial small subunit ribosomal RNA", at positions 65 to 755 of the family's 1533-position model. Lineage: Bacteria; Bacillati; Bacillota; Clostridia; Lachnospirales; Lachnospiraceae. The record is from RNAcentral.